UCCUCUCUCAUAUGAUCGGCCUUUGCAGGUGGAAAACUUAUUGGUUGAACCAGAUCCACCACGUCAUUGUAGACCAGUUCAACCGACGCUCGAUACGUCGCCGGGGAAAAAAAUAAGAAAUCGCCGAUAGAAACCGAGAAAUUAUUGCCCUGGACCAGAUCAGCGCAAAUCUCGUAGCACAUGCACGGUGGAUAACGCGCAAUCGGGACUUCGUAAGAUACAAGGG
This 226-nucleotide long non-coding RNA is filed under the name Elaeis guineensis (African oil palm). RNAcentral's name for it is "long non-coding RNA (EGUI_LNC016520)". Lineage: Eukaryota; Viridiplantae; Streptophyta; Magnoliopsida; Arecales; Arecaceae. The record is from RNAcentral.